Molecule: ribosomal RNA, 877 nt
Filed under: uncultured bacterium
Lineage: Bacteria
Description: bacterial SSU rRNA
Rfam family: Bacterial small subunit ribosomal RNA
Source: RNAcentral
AGAGCGAACGCUGGCGGCGUGCUUAACACAUGCAAGUCGAACGCGCAGCAUUCUGUAGCAAUACAGGGUGUGGGCGCGUGGCGAACGGGUGCGUAACACGUGGAUAACCUUCCUUCAGGUGGGGAAUAACCCAGUGAAAAUUGGGCUAAUACCGCAUAACAUGACGAUGCCACAUGGUGUUGUCUUCAAAGCCGCAAGGCGCCAGAAGAGGGAUCCGCGGCCGAUUAGCUUGUUGGCGAGGUAAUGGCUCACCAAGGCAUUGAUCGGUAGCCGGACUGAGAGGUUGGCCGGCCACACUGGAACUGAGACACGGUCCAGACUCCUACGGGAGGCAGCAGUGGGGAAUCUUGCACAAUGGACGAAAGUCUGAUGCAGCAACGCCGCGUGGGGGAUGAAGCUUUUCGGAGUGUAAACCCCUUUCGACCCGGAAGAAUGCCCGCAAGGGUUUGACGGUACGGGUAUAAGAAGCCCCGGCUAACUACGUGCCAGCAGCCGCGGUAAUACGUAGGGGGCCAGCGUUGCUCGGAAUUACUGGGCGUAAAGGGUCCGUAGGCGGUGUGGCAAGUCGGGAGUGAAAUCUCUGGGCUUAACCCAGAGGCUGCUUCCGAAACUGCCAUGCUAGAGUGUGAGAGAGGCGAGUGGAAUUACGGGUGUAGCGGUGAAAUGCGUAGAUAUCCGUAGGAACAUCCGAGGCGAAGGCGGCUCGCUGGAUCACAACUGACGCUGAGGGACGAAAGCUAGGGGAGCAAACAGGAUUAGAUACCCUGGUAGUCCUAGCCCUAAACCAUCAGCACUUGGGGGUGUGCCCUGUACGGGGCACGUCCCGUAGCUAACGCGUUAAGUCCUGCGCCUGGGGGAGUACGGUCGCAAGGCUGAA